Molecule: non-coding RNA, 133 nt
Organism: Sorex araneus (European shrew)
Lineage: Eukaryota; Metazoa; Chordata; Mammalia; Eulipotyphla; Soricidae
Source: Rfam
GAGCUCCGCGGCCUCUCUCGGGUCAAAGUAAUUUUUAGCGAUUUUUUGGCGAUUUUUCGGCGGACUUCGAGUGGCGCUGGGCUCUCGGACAGGUUACGCCGUCUCUCCGGCUAGAUUAAUGAGAUCGGGCAUC